GGGUUGUGAGGUUAAGCGACUAAGCGUACACGGUGGAUGCCCUGGCAGUCAGAGGCGAUGAAGGGCGUGCUAAUCUGCGAUAAGCGCCGGUAAGGUGAUAUGAACCGUUAUAACCGGCGAUACCCGAAUGGGGAAACCCAGUGUGAUUCGUCACACUAUCAUUAACUGAAUCCAUAGGUUAAUGAGGCGAACCGGGGGAACUGAAACAUCUAAGUACCCCGAGGAAAAGAAAUCAACCGAGAUUCCCCCAGUAGCGGCGAGCGAACGGGGAGGAGCCCAGAGCCUGAAUCAGCAUGUGUGUUAGUGGAAGCGUCUGGAAAGGCGCGCGAUACAGGGUGACAGCCCCGUACACAAAAGCGCAUGUGCUGUGAGCUCGAUGAGUAGGGCGGGACACGUGGUAUCCUGUCUGAAUAUGGGGGGACCAUCCUCCAAGGCUAAAUACUCCUGACUGACCGAUAGUGAACCAGUACCGUGAGGGAAAGGCGAAAAGAACCCCGGCGAGGGGAGUGAAAAAGAACCUGAAACCGUGUACGUACAAGCAGUGGGAGCACAGGUUUACCUGUGUGACUGCGUACCUUUUGUAUAAUGGGUCAGCGACUUAUAUUCUGUAGCAAGGUUAACCGAAUAGGGGAGCCGGAGGGAAACCGAGUCUUAAUUGGGCGUUAAGUUGCAGGGUAUAGACCCGAAACCCGGUGAUCUAGCCAUGGGCAGGUUGAAGGUUGGGUAACACUAACUGGAGGACCGAACCGACUAAUGUUGAAAAAUUAGCGGAUGACCUGUGGCUGGGGGUGAAAGGCCAAUCAAACCGGGAGAUAGCUGGUUCUCCCCGAAAGCUAUUUAGGUAGCGCCUCGUGAAUUCAUCUCCGGGGGUAGAGCACUGUUUCGGCUAGGGGGCCAUCCCGGCUUACCAACCCGAUGCAAACUGCGAAUACCGGAGAAUGUUAUCACGGGAGACACACGGCGGGUGCUAACGUCCGUCGUGAAGAGGGAAACAACCCAGACCGCCAGCUAAGGUCCCAAAGUCAUGGUUAAGUGGGAAACGAUGUGGGAAGGCCCAGACAGCCAGGAUGUUGGCUUAGAAGCAGCCAUCAUUUAAAGAAAGCGUAAUAGCUCACUGGUCGAGUCGGCCUGCGCGGAAGAUGUAACGGGGCUAAACCAUGCACCGAAGCUGCGGCAGCGANNGUUGGGUAGGGGAGCGUUCUGUAAGCCUGUGAAGGUGGCCUGUGAGGGUUGCUGGAGGUAUCAGAAGUGCGAAUGCUGACAUAAGUAACGAUAAAGCGGGUGAAAAGCCCGCUCGCCGGAAGACCAAGGGUUCCUGUCCAACGUUAAUCGGGGCAGGGUGAGUCGACCCCUAAGGCGAGGCCGAAAGGCGUAGUCGAUGGGAAACGGGUUAAUAUUCCCGUACUUGGUGUUACUGCGAAGGGGGGACGGAGAAGGCUAUGUUGGCCGGGCGACGGUUGUCCCGGUUUAAGCGUGUAGGUGUGUGUUCCAGGUAAAUCCGGUUCACUUUAACACUGAGGCGUGAUGACGAGGCACUACGGUGCUGAAGCAACAAAUGCCCUGCUUCCAGGAAAAGCCUCUAAGCAUCAGGUAACAUCAAAUCGUACCCCAAACCGACACAGGUGGUCAGGUAGAGAAUACCAAGGCGCUUGAGAGAACUCGGGUGAAGGAACUAGGCAAAAUGGUGCCGUAACUUCGGGAGAAGGCACGCUGACACGUAGGUGAAGUGAUUUACUCAUGGAGCUGAAGUCAGUCGAAGAUACCAGCUGGCUGCAACUGUUUAUUAAAAACACAGCACUGUGCAAACACGAAAGUGGACGUAUACGGUGUGACGCCUGCCCGGUGCCGGAAGGUUAAUUGAUGGGGUCAGCGCAAGCGAAGCUCCUGAUCGAAGCCCCGGUAAACGGCGGCCGUAACUAUAACGGUCCUAAGGUAGCGAAAUUCCUUGUCGGGUAAGUUCCGACCUGCACGAAUGGCGUAAUGAUGGCCAGGCUGUCUCCACCCGAGACUCAGUGAAAUUGAACUCGCUGUGAAGAUGCAGUGUACCCGCGGCAAGACGGAAAGACCCCGUGAACCUUUACUAUAGCUUGACACUGAACAUUGAGCCUUGAUGUGUAGGAUAGGUGGGAGGCUUUGAAGCGUGGACGCCAGUCUGCGUGGAGCCGACCUUGAAAUACCACCCUUUAAUGUUUGAUGUUCUAACGUGGACCCGUAAUCCGGGUUGCGGACAGUGUCUGGUGGGUAGUUUGACUGGGGCGGUCUCCUCCUAAAGAGUAACGGAGGAGCACGAAGGUUGGCUAAUCCUGGUCGGACAUCAGGAGGUUAGUGCAAUGGCAUAAGCCAGCUUGACUGCGAGCGUGACGGCGCGAGCAGGUGCGAAAGCAGGUCAUAGUGAUCCGGUGGUUCUGAAUGGAAGGGCCAUCGCUCAACGGAUAAAAGGUACUCCGGGGAUAACAGGCUGAUACCGCCCAAGAGUUCAUAUCGACGGCGGUGUUUGGCACCUCGAUGUCGGCUCAUCACAUCCUGGGGCUGAAGUAGGUCCCAAGGGUAUGGCUGUUCGCCAUUUAAAGUGGUACGCGAGCUGGGUUUAGAACGUCGUGAGACAGUUCGGUCCCUAUCUGCCGUGGGCGCUGGAGAACUGAGGGGGGCUGCUCCUAGUACGAGAGGACCGGAGUGGACGCAUCACUGGUGUUCGGGUUGUCAUGCCAAUGGCACUGCCCGGUAGCUAAAUGCGGAAGAGAUAAGUGCUGAAAGCAUCUAAGCACGAAACUUGCCCCGAGAUGAGUUCUCCCUGAGACUU
This 2800-nucleotide ribosomal RNA is filed under the name Salmonella enterica subsp. enterica serovar Newport str. CVM80_2288. Its description in RNAcentral is "bacterial LSU rRNA". It matches the Rfam family "Bacterial large subunit ribosomal RNA". The record is from RNAcentral. Lineage: Bacteria; Pseudomonadati; Pseudomonadota; Gammaproteobacteria; Enterobacterales; Enterobacteriaceae.